Long non-coding RNA from Syngnathoides biaculeatus (alligator pipefish), 1708 nucleotides. RefSeq lists it as uncharacterized. NCBI's taxonomy places the organism in Eukaryota, Metazoa, Chordata, Actinopteri, Syngnathiformes, Syngnathidae. The transcript has 3 exons. The record is from RefSeq and is a predicted model, not a curated record.
UUCCGAGGAGCUGGCGUCCGUACAAGGAAAAAGCAAUAAGUCUGAGCAUGAAGUGAAUCCAUAGUUACAAUAUUCUACUUUGGGAAGUGUUGUGAAUGACACAGUGACACCUUGUGUGUUUACCAUCAACGAUGCAAUCCGAUCCUCCACAAUGUCAGAGGAGCUGCACUACAGUUUUCACACCCUUAGUGGGUUCUUUGCAGUUGUAGUAGUUUUUCUAACCGAGGACUGACUAGCUGAUCAAGCAGCCAAGGCUGAAGCCCAGGGAUUCCCCAUGGUUGACACAGCACUGGUGAAAGAGAUCACAUCCGCGUGGUGGACCAAGUCUUCCUCAAAGUGCUGAGACGACCUCGCUGGGACAAUGAACGCUGGGACGGCCCCCACCAGGUGAUAGCAGUGACACCUACGGCUGUAAAGGUCAAGGGACGUGACGGCUGGAUCCACCAGUCGCAGUGCAAGCCCCUUCAAUUCCCUGCUGACGGGCCUAGUGACGCCAGUCCCUCGGGGUAGGAUCUCCACGACGUACACACCAGUGUACCGACGAAAGACCACAGUUGGAGAGACGGUCUUCCGUGGCAAACACACCCCUCUCGAGAAGAUGGAGCAGACCACCGGCCAGAGGCUGACUGCAGUCCUGUCAACCAUAUAUGCUGUUUACUUUCUUGCAGGGCUGUGCCUGAUGGCAGUUGGUGCACAACCUCGCGGCAAGGAAAGCACCAACAAGGAACGGUUGCCCAGCCGUAGACUGUCUACGUCCAUCCUGGGAAACCUACGGCUGCUGAUGGACAGAACGGGGACGAUGAUUAAUGUAACUUCCCUUUCCCAAGAACUUUCCAUCACCAUCCUGCUGGACCAAUUGCCGUCCCGCCAGACAAGGUUCAGCAAGAUCUCAGCGGUUCCUGACUAUCCGGGUGCAAAUUUAGAAGAGCAAUAUGCUGAAGUAACUAAAAUGAGUCAUUGGCAAGAUUAUUGGUUUUAUCUAAUGAGUGCCCAUGAUGCAAAUUAUAAAAAAUGAUUGUCCUGGUGGAAUUAUAUGACUUCUGUCUAUGGUGAUUAUUGGUCAAAUCCACAUAGCAAUCAGGGAGCGUAAAAUUGGCACGGCAAACUAUCAAAGUGACAAGGUCUGAUGUACCCACCAUAACAUUUGUAUUACAGCCAAUGUCGUCCCUACCAAAUAAAGACAGAGAACUGUACUAUGCUUACGCUAUGGGAAUGGUACGGAGGAGGGGGCCAUUCGCGUGUCCCAAUUAAAUUGUGCUAUAAUUGGCAGCCACCCGUCCAAAAGAGAUUUGAGUAAUGCUAAUUUAAAGCCUCCAAUUACACAAAACACCCCAGUUUAUUUUGAUGUAAUUGGCCAACCUCGGAACAUCCCAGACAAAGAUAAAUUGUUAGAUGAAACGAAACCAGCAUUCACACAGCUGCCUUUCAUCUUCUUCUUCUUCUUCUUCUUCUUUUCCUUUCGGCUUGUCCCGUUAGGGGUCGCCACAGUGUGUCAUCUUUUGCCAUCUUAGCCUAUCUCCUGCAUCUUCCUCUCUAACCCCAACUGCCCUCAUGUCUUCCCUCACCACAUCCAUAAACCUUCUCUUUGGUCUUCCUCUCGCUCUUUUGCCUGGGAGCUCCAUCCUCAGCAUCCUUCUACCAAUAUACUCACUCUCUCGCCUCUGAACAUGUCCAAACCAUCGAAGUCUGCUCUCUCGAAUCUUGUCUC